Non-coding RNA from Acanthosepion pharaonis, 110 nucleotides. The record is from the annotation of a GenBank genome assembly. NCBI's taxonomy places the organism in Eukaryota, Metazoa, Mollusca, Cephalopoda, Sepiida, Sepiidae.
AUCACUCGGCUCGUCCGUCAACAAAGAGUGUGGCCAGCCGCGAUAACUGAGGCGAAUUGCAGGACUCGGUGAACAUCGACACCUGGAACGCACGUUACGGACUCAAGAUC